RNAcentral lists this ribosomal RNA (829 nucleotides) under uncultured bacterium. RNAcentral describes it as "SSU rRNA". It matches the Rfam family "Bacterial small subunit ribosomal RNA", at positions 60 to 896 of the family's 1533-position model. The record is from RNAcentral.
AGUCGAGCGGGAUCCAUCCAGUAGCAAUACUGGUGAAGAUCUAGCGGCGAACGGGUGAGUAACACGUGAGAAACCUGCCCCGGACUCUGGGAUAACACGAGGAAACUCGUGCUAAUACCGGAUAUCUUCUUUUGACCGCAUGGUCAGCUGAAGAAAGAUUUAUCGGUUUGGGAGGGUCUCGCGGCCUAUCAGCUAGUUGGCGGGGUAACGGCCCACCAAGGCAUCGACGGGUAGCUGGUCUGAGAGGACGAUCAGCCACACUGGGACUGAGACACGGCCCAGACUCCUACGGGAGGCAGCAGUGGGGAAUCUUGCGCAAUGGGCGAAAGCCUGACGCAGCAACGCCGCGUGCGGGAUGAAGGCCUUCGGGUUGUAAACCGCUUUCAGCAGGGAAGAAAUUGACGGUACCUGCAGAAGAAGCCCCGGCCAACUACGUGCCAGCAGCCGCGGUAACACGUAGGGGGCGAGCGUUGUCCGGAUUUAUUGGGCGUAAAGAGCUCGUAGGCGGUUCGGUAAGUCGGGUGUGAAACCUCCAGGCUCAACCUGGAGACGCCACCUGAUACUGCUGUGACUAGAGUCCGGUAGGGGAGUGUGGAACUCCUGGUGUAGCGGUGAAAUGCGCAGAUAUCAGGAAGAACACCAGCGGCGAAGGCGGCACUCUGGGCCGGUACUGACGCUGAGGAGCGAAAGCGUGGGUAGCAAACAGGAUUAGAUACCCUGGUAGUCCACGCCGUAAACGUUGGGCACUAGGUGUGGGUCUCAACCAACGAGAUCCGUGCCGCAGCUAACGCAUUAAGUGCCCCGCCUGGGGAGUACGGCCGCAAGGCUA